UCAGAGAACACACACUGGGGGCCUUCUAGGUGCUACCUGGGAGGCAAAGGUACAAAGGUGAAAGAAACACAAUUUUGCCCUCAAAAUCUAGCCCAGGUAACCAAAAAUAUUAAUAAUAAUACUGCAUUGAAUGCAAAAAAAUACUCUAAUAGAGGGAAACCUAUGUCCUCAGCCAUAGACUCUUGUUUGUUAGAAGUACAACCUGAAAUCCAGAGGACUGUACAAGGAGAUUUUUCUGCUGGGCUGAGUUUUUUCUUAUUUAAUCUGCUUGUAAAACCCUCACUUUCCAUUUCUACAGCCACUCCAUCAGGAAUUUUGAUGAACUGGGGGACAGAAAGCCUAUCUGUAUGUAAAAAAGCUGAGGUAUUGCAGAGUGCCUUUUUGGAUUUUUCCUCUGACAAGUGGUUGGCAUCUGCUAACAACACUUCUUUUCUUGAGCUUUGUAACGUUGCCAGACUGAGAACUGAGCUUUGAAAAAGGAGAAGGAGCUGUUAACAAAUGCCUUUGUUAUCUCCAGAAUUGAUUAUUGUACAGUGGUUCGUGGAAAAAAAACUUGAUGUGUAUCUUGUCUCAAUAUUUACCUGCUCCUUCCAGGAAAUAUUGUGCUAAGAGAAAUUCCCUUUAGUACAACAAAUGUCAACUUGCCUAAGAUAACUGGUGCAAUUCACCAAUUGACUGUCCUUUUCCCAUCUGAGGAAACAGUAUGAUAAGACCCCAGGAAGAAUUUCUUAUUAAGUGCUUGGAGAUCUUUUGAAUUUGAUGGCUGCUUGAAAUGUUUCAGAUACCUUUUCCCCCUUUCUUUCAUUCGAGAAAUAUUUAUUGGAACCUUCUACAUGCCAAGCUCUUUGCUGGCCUCUUGAAAAAUACUAAUGAAGGAAACAAAACCAAGGUAGAAUGGCCUUCAUGGAGAUUAGGUCUGGUGGAGGAGAGGAGGGUUCUACGAACAAUUCCAAUACAUGAUGUUAAGCCACGAUUGCAGAGUAUAUGUGUUAGGAGAAAGAGUGGUACAGGAGAUGAAAGGCAGCUAUUUUGAGAAAGUGAUCUGCAAACUAAAACUAGAGAUGGCAUUUUCCAAACAAAAGCUACAGCACAUUAAAAAAAAAAAAAGGAUUCUGAGGUAAAAGAGUGUGGCAAGUCACCCAACUUCUCUAAGCCUCAGGUUCCUCUUCUUUAAAAUGGGGAUAAUGGAGUUUCCGUCGUGGCUCAGUGGUUACCGAAUCUGACUAGGAACCAUGAGGUUGCAGGUUUGAUUCCUAGCCUCGCUCAGUGGGUUAAGGAUCGGGCAUUGCCGUGACCUAUGGUGUAGGUCGCAGAUGCGGCUCAGAUCCCGUGUUGCUGUGGCUGUGGCGUAGACCGGUGGCUACAGCUCCGAUUAGACCUCUAGCCUGGGAACCUCCAUAUACCACUGGUGCAGCCCUAAAAAGGACAAAAAAGACUAAAUAAAUAAAUAAAUAAAUAAAUAAAAUGGAGAUAAUAACAAAAUCCAUAUUUAUAGUGUUGCAAGGGUUAAUUGGAUAGUCCAGUAAGACACUGAGUGCAGUGUUUAUUAGUAAGUACUCCUGAAAUGUUGUUUAGUAUUUAUUUGCUUAUUGAGGAACCAAGAAAAAGUCAAGAUCAGGAUGGCUGGGUUUCCUAGUAUUUUUCUCCCAAUUGUGUUUGCCAAGUCUCCUUUACAGCUAGAAGGUAGCCUGGGCAGCACAAAAGAAACUCUCCAAGGUGGAGAUGGAGCAAAUAUUGGUUAUUUAUAUAUCUUUAUCUGACUCAAAUCAUCCAUUCGUUGCAGACAAGCGCUAUGUCUUAUUUAUUUCAUAUCAACACACAGAGUGCCUGGAACAAAAUAACUUUUUGAUAAAUGUUUCAUGAAUGAAUGAACACAUAGAGAUUAGAAACACCAGAAUAGAAUCAAGUAGAAUAGAAUAGAAUCCAAUAGAAUCCCAUCGAAUCUUGGUGCUGAGCUAACUAUUGUGGGAGAAUUCAAAGAAGAAUAGCUUCACUUAUAACCUAGGGAGCUGUCCAGGGUUAACUCAAUAAGUGGUAUGGCUGGUACUCAAACCCUAACUAGGCCUGCCUAUGCAGUAACUGGAGGGAGUAGAUGGCUUUUAAAGAUAAAAUAGGAAUCCCUUGCCACCUUUAGGUCUGAUACACAGAUUCAUUUUAUAUUUUAUAUUAGAUUAUAUGCCUUUCUCCUAGAUCUAAUUGUUCUCCCUACUUGUUCAUUUAUCCGGAUCCUGCUCUCCUCUGGGGGUUCUGCUAAAUUUUUACCUCUUCCAAGCUCCCUUCUCACAUGUGCCAAGCCACAUGGUUACAAUCUCCGCUGGACUCUGCUCUUCAGCCAUCAGGUUCGCCCUGCUGGCUUAGUGCUUGGCAAUUACUACAUUACAUGCAUAAUUACAUUUUUUAUUUACAUGCUCGACCCUCAGCUCAAUAAUAAAAUCAUCAAGUAUUAGUCCUGAAAGGCUCUUACUCUGAGUUCAAAUCUUAGCUCCAUCCCUCCUGAGCUGUGUUCCCAUUUGCAUGUUAUUUGACUUCUCUGUGCUUUGGUUCCUCCCUUUAAAAAUGAGAACAGUAUUACCCUCUCAUAUGGUUGUUGUAAGGAGGAAAUGCAUUAGUGCAUGUCAAGCAUCUGGGGGUUUUCAAUGGCUGUUAACUACUUUCUUAGGCUGAUAGAUAAGAUACAGAACUCAUUCUUUAAAUAAAGCUGAACCCAGGAAAAGAAGGUACUGGAGUUCCAUCUGUUUUACCCACCUGCUCUGUGGUCAACCUUCACUCCAGAAUGACUUGAGCUCCAAAAUUACCCAUCAUUCUUUAUGGAGUAAAAAGCAGAGACCUAGCCAGGUGAAGUGACGUGCCUCAGCUCACACAGCCAGUAAUCGACAGGGGAGGUCUGGCCUCAGGUCAGCGUUCUCACCUACACCACACAAGCCCAUGCCUUACCAUCAGUUAUCGUUAUGUGUUCUUUCUCCUCUACCCCAUUCUCCCCCCAACUCCCACUCCAGCAAGAAGCUGUGCAUGGUUGUAUCCAUUCUGUGAGGGUACACAUUUGAGCAUACACAAACCAGCCCCUGCAUUGCCGGAGUUCACACUUCUGGGGGAGGGGAUGGGGGGAGAUAGAAACAUAACCAGUAAUUAUAAUAGGAGAGAAUUGAUAUAAUGAUAGAGGUAUGCACAGGGAGCACAGAUGAGGGAUAAUCAAUCCAGCCUUGAGCGAAAGGUGAAGGAUGGCUAAGAGGUAACAAGGCCCAUUGGACACGUGCGGGUGUUCGUAACAGGUCACAGUUGGGCAAACACACAGGGGCAUGGAAUAGCACGACCUCUGUGAGAAACUACCAGCAGUUUCCUUGGCCUACUAACUAGAGCAUGAAGUCGGAAGCGGGGAAGACAGGGCUAGAGAGGAAGGGGGGGAUGGUCACGUACUGGGGGAGGAUGAGGGGAGGGGCAUGAUGCUCCUGUUGGAACAUCUCUGGAUUGAUUUUGGUUUCUGUGCUUUGCAGUUGAGUGGGUUAUGUUUGC
RNAcentral lists this long non-coding RNA (3510 nucleotides) under Sus scrofa (pig). RNAcentral's name for it is "lncRNA (ENSSSCG00000054916.1)". Lineage: Eukaryota; Metazoa; Chordata; Mammalia; Artiodactyla; Suidae. The record is from RNAcentral.